RNAcentral lists this long non-coding RNA (2360 nucleotides) under Homo sapiens (human). Its description in RNAcentral is "HSALNT0360700". Lineage: Eukaryota; Metazoa; Chordata; Mammalia; Primates; Hominidae. The record is from RNAcentral.
CGCUGUCCUGUCUGCAGGGGCUGCCUUCCGGGAUUGCCCGCUCUCCUGCGUGCAGGCCCUGCUGGGAGGCUCAGCUGGCCCCGGGGACCGCCUGCCGGGUCUGCCCGCUGUGCUGCCUGCAUGGACCACCAGCCUGAGCUGCCCGCUCUCCUGCCUGCAGGCCCGGCUGGGAGGCUCAGCUGGCCCCGGGGACCGCCUGCCGUGUCGGCCCGCUAACCUGCCUGCAGGGCCCGCCAGCCUGAGCUGCUCGCUGUCCUGCCUGCAGGGCCCGCCUGCCGGGGCUGCCCGCUGUGCAGCCUGCAAGGCCCACCUGCCGGGGUUGCCCUCUAAGCUGCCUACAGUGCCCGCCUGCCGGUGCUGCCCACUGUACAUCUUUCAGGCCCAGCUGGGAGGCUCAGCUGGCACUGGGGCUUGCAUGCCGGGCCUGUCUGCUGUCCUGCCUUCAGAGCUCGCCAGCCUGGGCUGCCCGCGGUCCUGUCUGCAGGGGCCGCCUGCCGGGAUUGCCCGCUCUCCUGCUGGCAGGCCCGGCUGGGAGGCUCAGCUUGUCCCGGGGACCGCCUGCCGGGUCUGCCCGCUGUCCUGCCUGCAUGGACCACCAGCCUGAGCUGCCCGCUGUCCUGCCUGCAGGGCCUGCAGGCCCGGCUGGGAGGCUCAGCUGGCCCCGGGGACCGCCUGCCGGGUCUGCCCGCUCUCCUGCCUGCAGGGCCCGCCAGCCUGAGCUGCUCGCUGUCCUGCCUGCAGGGCCCGCCUGCCGGGGUUGCCCUCUAAGCUGCCUACAGGGCCGGCCUGCCGGGGCUGCCCGCUGUACGUCCUUCAGGCCCAGCUGGGAGGCUCAGCUGGCACUGGGGCCUGCAUGCCGGGCCUGUCUGCUGUCUGGUCUUCGUUUUUGGUUCUCUUCAUUUGGUUUAUAAAUUUGAGUUAAUAUUUGGAGCCAUUUUCUCAACCCAAUACAGCUUUGCUCCCAUGACCUCCUUCGUACUCUUAUUGGUGAACACAUUACAUUUAUAUAUGGUACAGGAAGAAGAAUGCAUUGUAUAUAUGCAGUUUUAUACAACUGCUUUCUACAUCGGUUAAGAGAAGAAAAUAGAAGAAUGUGCACUUAUACUGCCUUUUGUAGUUUCAUAUUUACCUUUUAUGGUGCCCUAUGUUUUUUGUGUGUGAUUUUGAUUUACUGUCUGGGAUCACUUGCUUCCAGCCUGAUGAAUUUCUCUUUUGAUUUCUUAUGAGGCAGAUAUUCCAGCGACAUAUUCUUUCAGUUUUGUUAAUCUGGGUCAACAAGAGGAGCUUAGUACUCCACACAAUGACUUAGGAACCUGUGCUGGUGGUGGCACUGGCAUCUUACAGCUGCUCCAUCUGGAGAAGGUUCCAGGUGAUUCCAGCUCUUCAUAUAGCUGCUGCCUCACAGAAUUAGGAUGAGUAGUGGGAAGAACUGAGUGUGGGAAUGAAGCAGAUGGGACAGAGUCCAAGAACCCAAAAGCAAGGAGGAAGAGACAGUACCGGGGCAUGAAUAGCCUUGGAGGGUUCCUGACGCCAGCCUGCAGUUCCUGGAGCUCCAGCACCUCAUCCACAACAUUUGCGAAUGGACAAGGCAGGAGUGAGGAAGAAAGGUUUCAUCUUCAGAGAAGAGGUAUCAGUAGUGUAGGGGUGAAGGUGAUGGAAGAAACGGUUGUGGAACAAAAGGAAUAGAAAGCUCCCGGCAAGGAUGGAGGCAGCACUGUUUGUUGGACAACUGAAUUGGCCCAGGUGGCCCCUGCACUCUCAGGUACCUGAGACUCCACCCGCCUUGCCUUACUGUCCACAUUUACUCAUGGUGACAACCCCCGCCCCCAAAUUUCAUUUGAAUGACAUGCGCAGGUGCAUUUGCACUGAGAUCUUUAUUCUAGGCCUGGGGCCUUGGAGCAGUGGGCAAUUGCAACACAGGACAGAGAAGAGAGUAUUGUUUGUGUCCCUGUGAUCAGACACAUGCACACACUACACACACACACACACACACACACACACACACACACACAAGGACACGGGCACAGACAUGGGUAGUAAUGAGACCUAUUAAGUAUUUUCCCCUCCAGUAGGCAGAUGUGCAUGAUACAUAAAUUACAAAUAAGAGGAACCUUGUGAACACAUUUCAAAGGCAAGAUGAGUGAAUAUCGGUGACUUGUGGUUUUCAUGUAUUUUAUAAUUCAGUUCUUGGUAUAAAAUAUAUUUUAUAUUCCAACCUCGUAUACACCUAUACACUCUUGAAAAAUCGAAAGAAGAGUUUCACUGAAGAAAACUUAAUUUCACAAGGUGUGAUACUCUCUGAUGUUUUAUUUUACAUCAUAUACUAGUUCAAUUAAAAAAUAAAUUCAUUAAGCUCAUCA